UGGGGAAUUUUGGACAAUGGGGGCAACCCUGAUCCAGCCAUGCCGCGUGAGUGAUGAAGGCCUUCGGGUCGUAAAGCUCUGUCGGAGGGAACGAAUGCUCCUGAAGUUAACAGCCUCAGGAGGUGACGGUACCCUCAAAGGAAGCACCGGCUAACUCUGUGCCAGCAGCCGCGGUAAUACAGAGGGUGCAAGCGUUGUUCGGAAUCAUUGGGCGUAAAGGGCGUGUAGGCGGUAUGUUAAGUCAUGUGUGAAAUCCCUCGGCUCAACCGGGGAACGACGCAUGAAACUGGCAAGCUAGAGUACCAAAGAGGGUGGUGGAAUUCCCGGUGUAGCAGUGAAAUGCGUAGAUAUGUCAUAGAACACCGAUUGCGAAGGCAGCUCACAAAACUGUAACUGACGCUGAGGCACGAAAGUGCGGGGAUCAAACAGGAUUAGAUACCCAUGUAGUCCCUGAGCGGGCUGGCAAGGCGCAU
Molecule: ribosomal RNA, 473 nt
Filed under: uncultured bacterium
Lineage: Bacteria
Description: bacterial SSU rRNA
Rfam family: Bacterial small subunit ribosomal RNA
Source: RNAcentral